RNAcentral lists this transfer RNA (73 nucleotides) under Zenion japonicum (Japanese dory). Its description in RNAcentral is "tRNA-Leu". It matches the Rfam family "tRNA". From Rfam's summary of the family: Transfer RNA (tRNA) molecules are approximately 80 nucleotides in length. Their secondary structure includes four short double-helical elements and three loops (D, anti-codon, and T loops). Lineage: Eukaryota; Metazoa; Chordata; Actinopteri; Zeiformes; Zenionidae. The record is from RNAcentral.
GCUUUUAAAGGAUAACAGCGUAUCCAUUGGUCUUAGGAGCCAAAAACUCUUGGUGCAAGUCCAAGUAAAAACA